GAAGGCAACUUUUUUACAUUCAUCAUCAACCUAAAGCAAAGCACCUUUUGACUAACCCACUAAAAAAGGCCUUGUUCAUUGACAGCAUGAUCUUUGUAUUGUGUGACUAACUUAAAAGUCUGUGAUCUGAACCCAUGUGUCCUGUAGAACAAUUCCAGAGAUGCUAAUGACUAUCUAAGAUCAUCACAAAACCAGGCAGUAAUUUCCCUAGAGUUAGAAAUGCUUCCUUGGUUUUCCUCAUUGCUGUGCCUUUGAGAUGUUAGAAAUAGUUAAUGAUUUUCUGCUACAGUGAAAAAAAUCUACAGAUUCAUUGUCUCAAUGCGAUAUUUGCAUACAUCUCUGAAUUUUAGAUUGUUUGAUAGAGUGCUAUGACGACAUGCAGUCACCGCUACAAAAUACAAUGAAUAGCAGUUGCCAUGAACUUGGUGUCACCUAUUUUGGUAAGCAAUAUAUCUAAGGGAUUUAUACAUCCCUCUCAGGGAUAAAGCUUGGAAUUUUAGCUGUGUUACUUAGAACACAAUUGCACCCACCCCCUCACACAUACCUUAAUCUAACAGAGAGUUUAAUAUAGCCACAAUUUAAAGAUUAAUACAGUUGCAAUUAUUCUUUCUUCCCUUGCAGAAAAAAACAAGAUAUUUUGGAGUAUAAUUUUCUAAAAUUGAAAAGAACAGUGGAAGGCAUUGAGUUUGCUUUUGCUCUGGAUUUUCUUUUCUGGAAAAGUUAUGAAGGUUACAAAAUGUAUUCCAGUACCCUUUAGAGAAGAUCAGAGUUUUCCAGCCGGGCUCAGGUUAAGAAAGAACAAAAUACCUACUUGGAAAAAACGUCCAAAGAGAUCAGCAAAACAACACAGUUACAGAUGGGGAUGGAUCUGGGGCUAAUGAGCGAUUACUAAUGACUCAUUUCUGGGAUUUUCUGCUUUCCAUGAGGUGUGGCACCACACACUGGAUCUGUAUGAUCUGAAAGAGUCUGGACCUUGUGCUUCCUUUCUGAGGGCAGAAUGAUUCUGUAUCUGUGGAGUUGCCAGAGACCUGAGCACAGAGCUAAACACUUCACCAUCUGAUUCCCCACUGGAAUUUUCUAUAAAAAGGCAACUGGCUUUGAAAUAUUUAGAGACACUGAUCCAGCCGGAUGGAAUAAAAAAUACACAUAUUUACAACUGCAAAGGUUUUUGUGACAGCUACCUGCCUAUAAUGAAUUAUGAUACUGAAGAAGUCUUAUCAUAAGCAAAAGAGGAUCAAGGGAGGAAAGGGUGGUGAUGUUAGAAGGAUGCUCCUGUGAUAAUACGUGCCUCGAUUUAAGACUUCCUACAUUUCUACUGCUGUUUAGCUACAGAAAAGGUCCAGCAGAGUAGUGGACAGUGAGUUGCUAUGAGAAGGCAAAAAGAAAACCCAGACAAACAACAAACCAGAACAAAAACAGUAAGUAAAAGGUGAACUUAAACUUCUUUUUUUCUCAUCUUUCCAAAAGCAUUUUAUGUUAGGUAUUCAAGAAGGGAAUCCAGAAAGCUGAUGGAGAGUACUGAAGCUGGAGUAAUGGAGAGGAAGAAAAUCAUGAUUGCCAGUUAAUAUUAUAGAAGAAUACAUCUGCUCUGGAGAAGUACUAGGCAUCUGCUGGGCAUAUGCAGUGCUGGAAUACUCAUGUAAAGUGAUUUCUGGUGUUUCACGGAUGCUAAAAUCCUAUAUGUUGGAGUUUUUUUACAUUGUCUAAUUCAUGUUCUUUCUUAGUCCUUCUGUUAGGAUUUGCCAGCAAAUAGAAGGGUAGGGUUGAAGGAAACAGGGAGAUCAAUUUUCUAACUUUAACAGAAAUCCCAUUAAAAAGAGAGCUAACAAGCACUCACUUUUGAUUGCUAUUUAAUCAAUAAUGCAUCUAAUUAUUCUCUAUAUAGAUAUACUUUUGUUUUUAAAAUAUUUAUAUACAGAUGGAUAUACAUGCACUCUUUUUAACUUUUGUAUCUCGAUUAACCAAACAACAAAACAUAGAUUUGAAUGCAUUUUCCCAGUCUGAAAUUCAGAGUACAUAGAUUACUCUUGUAUGUUGGGGUCCUAGGCAGGAAGCCACCAGUUUGGCUUCUUCUUUCUCGACAUAUUUCUAGAAGGGAUUGGCACUAAUUUUAGAGGCAACUCUCUGAAUAAACUAACACAAUAAUAUUAAUAGCAAAGGAUAGAAUAAAAACACUGGCCUUCACAUUUCUUCUGGUUCUUCUUGGUGGCUGCAGAACAAGCAGCUCCUUACACAUGCUGAUAUCUUUAUAAGGUACUCAAGGAACUACUUUAUGU
Long non-coding RNA from Gallus gallus (chicken), 2276 nucleotides. RefSeq lists it as uncharacterized. The record is from RefSeq and is a predicted model, not a curated record. The transcript has 6 exons. Lineage: Eukaryota; Metazoa; Chordata; Aves; Galliformes; Phasianidae.